UGCGUAGGCGGAAAAUUAAGUCAGUGGUGAAAUCCUGCAGCUUAACUGUAGAACUGUCAUUGAUACUGAUUUUCUUGAAUUUAGUUGAGGUAGGCGGAAUGUGUAAUGUAGCGGUGAAAUGCUUAGAUAUUACACAGAACACCGAUUGCGAAGGCAGCUUACUAAACUAUGAUUGACGCUGAGGUACGAAAGCGUGGGGAGCGAACAGGAUUAGAUACCCUGGUAGUCC
RNAcentral lists this ribosomal RNA (229 nucleotides) under uncultured bacterium. RNAcentral describes it as "partial 16S ribosomal RNA". It matches the Rfam family "Bacterial small subunit ribosomal RNA", at positions 568 to 796 of the family's 1533-position model. The record is from RNAcentral.